Molecule: ribosomal RNA, 119 nt
Organism: Capra hircus (goat)
Lineage: Eukaryota; Metazoa; Chordata; Mammalia; Artiodactyla; Bovidae
Source: Ensembl
GUCUACGGCCAUACCACCCUGAACGCGCCCGAUCUCGUCUGAUCUCGGAAGCUAAGCAGGGUCGGGCCCGGUUAGUACUUGGAUGGGAGACCGCCUGGGAAUACCGGGUGCUGUAGGCU